RNAcentral lists this unclassified non-coding RNA (284 nucleotides) under Magnaporthales sp. Its description in RNAcentral is "partial contains 5.8S ribosomal RNA, internal transcribed spacer 2, and large subunit ribosomal RNA". The stretch from base 1 to 71 matches the Rfam family "5.8S ribosomal RNA", at positions 84 to 154 of the family's 154-position model. The record is from RNAcentral. Lineage: Eukaryota; Fungi; Ascomycota; Sordariomycetes; Magnaporthales.
GUGAGUCAUCGAAUCUUUGAACGCACAUUGCGCCCGCCGGCAUUCCGGCGGGCAUGCCUGUUCGAGCGUCAUUUCGACCCUCAAGCCCUAGGGCUUGGUGUUGGGGCGGCCGCGCCAGCGGGGCCCUCAAGUCCAUCGGCGGGCUCGCCGGACACUGAGCGCAGUAAAUCUUCUCCGUUCGGCCUGUCUUGGCGGGUCCCUGCCGCUAAACACCCCAGUUUUAAGGUUGACCUCGGAUCAGGUAGGAUUACCCGCUGAACUUAAGCAUAUCAAUAAGCGGAGGA